UUUCCGUAGGUGAACCUGCGGAAGGAUCAUUAACGAGUAAAGUCCGUCUGACCUUUCUUAUCCUAACACAUGUGAAAAUUCAUUUUUGUUUUGGGAAUUUAAUUAUUCCCAACAAUCAACGCCACUAAGUUGUCUUUUGUAUGAAUGAUUAUUUAAAAAUCACAACUUUCAACAACGGAUCUCUUGGUUCUC
Molecule: unclassified non-coding RNA, 192 nt
Filed under: plant metagenome
Description: partial contains small subunit ribosomal RNA, internal transcribed spacer 1, and 5.8S ribosomal RNA
Source: RNAcentral